This 403-nucleotide ribosomal RNA is filed under the name uncultured bacterium. RNAcentral's name for it is "partial 16S ribosomal RNA". It matches the Rfam family "Bacterial small subunit ribosomal RNA", at positions 28 to 526 of the family's 1533-position model. The record is from RNAcentral.
GACGAACGCUGGCGGCGUGCCUAAUACAUGCAAGUCGAACGCAGUGGGGACGGGUGAGUAACACGUGGGUAACCUCCCAUCAGAGGGGAUAACACUUGGAAACAGGUGCUAAACCGAUACUGAUGGAUGGACCCGCGGUGCAUUAGCGGGUUGGUGAGGUAACGGCUCACCAAGGCCACGAUGCAUAGCCUACCUGAGAGGGUGAUCGGCAACACUGGUAGUGAGAAACGGCCCAGACUUAUACGGGAGGCAGAAGUAGGGAAUCUUCGGCUAUGGACGAAAGUCUGACCGUGCAACGCCGCGUGAGUGAUGAAGGUCUUCGGAUCGGAAAACGCUGUUAUUAGGGAAGCGGUACCUAAUCAGAAAGCCACGGCUAAGUACGUGCCAGCAGGCGCGGUAAUAC